This 496-nucleotide ribosomal RNA is filed under the name uncultured bacterium. RNAcentral's name for it is "partial 16S ribosomal RNA". It matches the Rfam family "Bacterial small subunit ribosomal RNA", at positions 28 to 507 of the family's 1533-position model. The record is from RNAcentral.
GAUGAACGCUGGCGGCGUGCCUAAUACAUGCAAGUCGAGCGAACGGACGAGAAGCUUGCUUCUCUGAUGUUAGCGGCGGACGGGUGAGUAACACGUGGAUAACCUACCUAUAAGACUGGGAUAACUUCGGGAAACCGUAGCUAAUACCGGAUAAUAUUUUGAACCGCAUGGUUCAAAAGUGAAAGACGGUCUUGCUGUCACUUAUAGGUGGAUCCGCGCUGCAUUAGCUAGUUGGUAAGGUAACGGCUUACCAAGGCAACGAUGCAUAGCCGACCUGAGAGGGUGAUCGGCCACACUGGAACUGAGACACGGUCCAGACUCCUACGGGAGGCAGCAGUAGGGAAUCUUCCGCAAUGGGCGAAAGCCUGACGGAGCAACGCCGCGUGAGUGAUGAAGGGCUUCGGAUCGUAAAACUCUGUUAUUAGGGAAGAACAUAUGUGUAAGUAACUGUGCACAUCUUGACGGUACCUAUCAGAAAGCCACGGCUAACUACGUG